Molecule: transfer RNA, 69 nt
Filed under: Microcerotermes sp. G13-58
Lineage: Eukaryota; Metazoa; Arthropoda; Insecta; Blattodea; Termitidae
Also listed under: 2 other names
Description: tRNA-Phe
Source: RNAcentral
ACUCGAAUAGCUUAUUAAUUUAGAGCGCGACACUGAAGAUGUCGAUGAGGCAUUCAUUGCCUUUGAGUA